GCAAACUUGGUCAUUUAGAGGAAGUAAAAGUUGUAACAAGGUUUCCGUAGGUGAACCUGCGGAAGGAUCAUUAAAGUGUGUGGGGGAUGUGGAUUGGGUGGGGGGUGGUGAGAGUGGUGAUGGGUGUGGGGGCUAUGGUCGAUGGCGCGUGGUCAAUGUUGAUUGACUGCGGCCAGUAAGGCCAGACCACACACACACGCACACACACACCCACCCAGCCACAUGAGCGCACGGUGUGGGAGCACCGUGACAUGUGCGCGUACGAUGCAGACCAUGGUGGUGGCAACAACACUUUCGACAAGGAAUCUCUAGGCUCUUGCAUCGAUGAAGAACGCAGC
RNAcentral lists this unclassified non-coding RNA (338 nucleotides) under uncultured fungus. RNAcentral's name for it is "partial contains small subunit ribosomal RNA, internal transcribed spacer 1, and 5.8S ribosomal RNA". The stretch from base 1 to 73 matches the Rfam family "Eukaryotic small subunit ribosomal RNA", at positions 1759 to 1831 of the family's 1831-position model. Lineage: Eukaryota; Fungi. The record is from RNAcentral.